Molecule: ribosomal RNA, 465 nt
Filed under: Vreelandella stevensii
Lineage: Bacteria; Pseudomonadati; Pseudomonadota; Gammaproteobacteria; Oceanospirillales; Halomonadaceae
Description: partial 16S ribosomal RNA
Rfam family: Bacterial small subunit ribosomal RNA
Source: RNAcentral
CCUACGGGAGGCUGCAGUGGGGAAUAUUGGACAAUGGGGGCAACCCUGAUCCAGCCAUGCCGCGUGUGUGAAGAAGGCCCUCGGGUUGUAAAGCACUUUCAGUGAGGAAGAACGCCUGGUGGUUAAUACCCAUCAGGAAAGACAUCACUCACAGAAGAAGCACCGGCUAACUCCGUGCCAGCAGUCGCGGUAAUACGGAGGGUGCGAGCGUUAAUCGGAAUUACUGGGCGUAAAGCGCGCGUAGGUGGCUUGAUAAGCCGGUUGUGAAAGCCCCGGGCUCAACCUGGGAACGGCAUCCGGAACUGUCAAGCUAGAGUGCAGGAGAGGAAGGUAGAAUUCCCGGUGUAGCGGUGAAAUGCGUAGAGAUCGGGAGGAAUACCAGUGGCGAAGGCGGCCUUCUGGACUGACACUGACACUGAGGUGCGAAAGCGUGGGUAGCAAACAGGAUUAGAUACCCGUGUAGUC